UAUAUUUUACAAUGGGGGCAACCCUGAUCCAGCCAUGCCGCGUGUGUGUAGAAGGUCUUCGGUUUGUAAAGCACGUUUUGUUGGGAGGAAGUGCUUUAGGUUAUUAUUCUGUAGUUUUGACGUUACCAAUAGAAUAAUCACCGGCUAACUCUGUGCCAGCAGCCUCGGUAAUACAGAGGGUGCAAGCGUUAAUCGGAAUUAUUGGUCGUAAAGCGCGCGUAGGUGGUUCAGUAAGAUGGGAGUGAAAUCCCAGGGCUUAACCUGGGAACUGCUUUAAUAACUGCUGAGAUAGAGUACGGUAGAGGGUAGUGGAAUUACAUGUGUAGCGGUGAAAUGCGUAGAUAUAGGAAGGAACACCAGUGGCGAAGGCGACUACCUGGACUGAUACUGACACUGAGGUGCGAAAGCGUGGGGAGCAAACA
Molecule: ribosomal RNA, 422 nt
Filed under: uncultured bacterium
Lineage: Bacteria
Description: partial 16S ribosomal RNA
Rfam family: Bacterial small subunit ribosomal RNA
Source: RNAcentral